UUGACGGGGCCGCACAGCGGUGAGCAUGUGGUUUAAUUCGAUGCAACGCGAAAACCUUACCUGCCCUUGACAUGUCAGGAAUCUUCCAGAGAUGGGGAGUGCCUUCGGGAGCCUGAACACAGGUGCUGCAUGGCUGUCGUCAGCUCGUGUCAUGAGAUGUUGGGUUAAGUCCCGUAACGAGCGCAACCCUUGUCCUUAGUUGCCAGCGGUUUGGCCGGGAACUCUAAGGAGACUGCCGGUGAUAAACCGGAGGAAGGUGGGGACGACGUCAAGUCAUCAUGGCCCUUAUGGGCAGGGCUACACACGUGCUACAAUGGCCAGUACAGAAGGUCGCCAACCCGCGAGGGGGAGCUAAUCCUACAAAGCUGGUCGUAGUCCGGAUCGCAGUCUGCAACUCGACUGCGUGAAGUCGGAAUCGCUAGUAAUCGCGAAUCAGCAUGUCGCGGUGAAUACGUUCCCGGGCCUU
RNAcentral lists this ribosomal RNA (466 nucleotides) under uncultured Gammaproteobacteria bacterium. RNAcentral describes it as "bacterial SSU rRNA". It matches the Rfam family "Bacterial small subunit ribosomal RNA", at positions 910 to 1382 of the family's 1533-position model. The record is from RNAcentral. Lineage: Bacteria; Pseudomonadati; Pseudomonadota; Gammaproteobacteria.